Molecule: non-coding RNA, 2344 nt
Organism: Equus caballus (horse)
Lineage: Eukaryota; Metazoa; Chordata; Mammalia; Perissodactyla; Equidae
Source: RefSeq, a predicted model, not a curated record
GCAGCAGCGAUGCCCACAGACGCCUUGCGGAGGCUUGUUGCUGGGGGAAAACGGUAGUUGCGGCAUUAACCGUCAGGGGUCUGCAACAGGUUCGACAAAAGAGGACCAGCCUGCAAGCCCGACUUUCACGGUUGGGUUGAGUCUCCCUACUCCGGCGCUUCCUUAGCGACGCUCCCUGACGCAAGGCCCGCCCACUGCACGCUUGUGCGCCGCCCACCACCUCCGCCCUCGUUUUCCACCGAGCAAGAUGGCUGAGGAGCCGGAGUCCGCGCUGCAGCUUUCUCCCUCGACUGCGGCUGAUGGCGAAGGACCUACGGAGGUUUCCCCAGAAACGGCCACUCCGGAGCCCCCCUCUUCCGCUGCAGUCUCGCCGGGAACAGAGGAGCCUGCCGGCGACACCAAAAAAAAAAUUGACAUCCUGCUAAAGGCUGUGGGAGACACCCCUAUAAUGAAAACAAAGAAGUGGGCUGUAGAGCGAACCCGAACCAUCCAAGGACUCAUUGACUUCAUCAAAAAGUUCCUAAAACUUGUGGCCUCAGAACAGUUGGAAAUUCACAUUAAAAUGCACACUGAUUUCUGUUUAUUUAUGUGAAUCAGUCCUUUGCCCCCUCCCCAGACCAGGAAGUUGGAACCCUCUAUGAGUGUUUUGGCAGUGAUGGUAAACUGGUCCUGCAUUACUGCAAAUCUCAGGCAUGGGGAUGAACUACAGAGAAAAUGAUCCUGCUAACUUAAAAUGAAUCGUCACAAGGGAACUGGGCUCUGGAAAGUGUUGAUAUUUGUGGCAAGAGACUUGUGGAUUUGAUGAACUCAGCAUGUAUCUACUAUGAGCUAUGUUUAUGUAUAAAAAAAUUCAUAGAGUAGAUGGACUCACAAAAAUGUGAUUUGUAUUAAUACAAAUCAUCAUAACCGAUCAACAUUAGAGUAUACCCAUUACUACAACCGUUGCUCCAGAUCUGCCUCCAGGGUAUUGAAAAGGAGAAUAAGACUGUGUAAAGCUUCCUUAUUAUCAGUUCUCAAAAUGAAAUUGUUUACUUAUAGAGUUAGCACUCUGCUGAUUUUUUCCUACUGUAAAAGUCAGUUUACUAAAAGAUUCUUUUUGUGUUUGUCCAGGGAACUUCAGUUUGUUUGAGGUAUGGGAUAUGCCUUUUCUCCUAUGCAUUUAUAUCUACAGUGUUACCUUGGGAAACAAAGCUGCAUUGACCUGCUUGCUUUACACCUUACGUAGUCCAGUAGAGGGCAGCGCAGCUGGCAGAAAGAGGCAGUCUGGUUUUACAUCUGGGCCAGAUGAUAAUGGAGGAAAAAAGCUGUUCCUGCUAAUUUCUAGGAAACGUCUAGCCAAGAGAGCACACAUGUUGACACACUGGAAGACUGCUUUAGAGAAAAAUGCAUGGUUUAGUUAUUUUAUUGGGAAACAGAAGGAAUUUUACAAAUUCUAGACAAGUGAUUCAUACAGCUCUUUGCAGUCCUAUCAUAUAAUGAUUCUUGAGCCCCAAUGGUUAUAACUAUGGUGUUAUUCUGUCUCUUAUUUUUAGUGUCAAAAGCACUUGAUGAGUAAACCUGGCAACAUCUUUCAGUUUUUUAUAAUGCAUUUUCCAACUUGAAAAUGCUAAAAGAAUAAUUGAAAAAUAGCCUUAGAUUUUGUGUGUAUUUCACUAAAAGUACCAUUUUUACUAAUACUGUUAGACUGGUAAUUGCCUGAAGUGACAUUUAUCUUUGUUUCUUUAUUCUAUAUUAUAUUUGUAAUGCAGCAUUAAAAAAAAAAAUUCCAGUAAAUUGAAUGGAAUAUCCAAACAGGAUCUGAGAUGUGUAUGAGAAUUCUAAGUGUUUAUCUUCAAAGGUAGUGAGAUGGUAUGAUUUUGUCAAAGGACUCUGAACUACACUUAUGUCCCUUAAACCCCGGAAUGUACUUUAUGGUUAAUGAUCUGCCAUACAUUAGCUUCAGGGGGUGCUAAGGAACAAUUUGGUUUACAGUGAUGAAUUCACUGUUCAGUUCUCAUUUUCUGCUCAAGAAUGAAUUAUUAAGUCCCCUUGUACCAAUGUCCCUGUUUAUUAAAUUAAUACAGCUAGUAGUUAGCACUGGAAUAAUACAGGUUGAAUUGUCAAAUUUAUCUUGUAAGACUAGGUAAGAAAUUAGUAUAUAUGUUGAAAGCUGGAAAGUAUUAUUUUUGAGUCAAAUAAGUUGGAUUUGGAAAAGAUCUGUUUUUUAGCUUCGUCUACUUACAGUUUACUGAAGGAUAUGAAUAUAUGCAUAUAUAUUUAACAAAUAGCAGAAAUGUGUUUAAUUUAUAUAUUGUGUUUGCCACUAAGGUUUCAGAUGAUAAAAUAUUUACUACCUCAAUCCAAA